GUGGAAGGAAACCGUGACCCCGGACAAGCUGAAUGCAUAAGAUGCUGCACCACAUGAAACCACUCUCAUCUUCAGCAACCUAAGCCUGAAAGAGCACAAACCUGAGACCUUUAUAGCAGCAUCCUGAAUUUCCUUCUGAUGAGCAGUCAUCAAGACUGCUGGACUCAAAGUUACCUAAAGUUUUCUCCUCACCCCCACCAGUCGGGGCAGACAG
Molecule: long non-coding RNA, 214 nt
Organism: Oreochromis aureus
Lineage: Eukaryota; Metazoa; Chordata; Actinopteri; Cichliformes; Cichlidae
Exons: 3
Source: RefSeq, a predicted model, not a curated record